AGAGUUUGAUCCUGGCUCAGGAUGAACGCUGGCGGCGUGCCUAACACAUGCAAGUCGAGCGGAGAUAAGGUUGAGUACUUGUACGAGAUUUUAUCUUAGCGGCGGACGGGUGAGUAACACGUGAGCAACCUACCUUUAGCAGGGGAAUAACACUGGGAAACCAGUGCUAAUACCGCAUAAUAUUACUACAGGGCAUCCUGUGGUAAUCAAAGGAGAAAUCCGGUAAAAGAUGGCCUCGCGUCCGAUUAGUUAGUUGGUGGGGUAAUGGCCUACCAAGACAGCGAUCGGUAGCCGGACUGAGAGGUCGAACGGCCACAUUGGAACUGAGAGACGGUCCAGACUCCUACGGGAGGCAGCAGUGGGGAAUAUUGGGCAAUGGGCGAAAGCCUGACCCAGCAACGCCGCGUGAAGGAAGAAGGCCUUCGGGUUGUAAACUUCUUUGAUCGGGGACGAAAAAAAUGACGGUACCCGAAAAACAAGCCACGGCUAACUACGUGCCAGCAGCCGCGGUAAUACAUAGGUGACAAGCGUUAUCCGGAUUUACUGGGUGUAAAGGGCGUGUAGGCGGGCUUGCAAGUUGGAUGUGAAAUUCACAGGCUUAACCUGAGAGGGUCAUCCAAAACUGCGAGUCUUGAGUACUGGAGAGGAUAGUGGAAUUCCUAGUGUAGCGGUAAAAUGCGUAGAUAUUAGGAGGAACACCAGUGGCGAAGGCGGCUAUCUGGACAGUAACUGACGCUGANGCGCGAAAGCGUGGGGAGCAAACAGGAUUAGAUACCCUGNNAGUCCACGCCGUAAACGAUGAAUACUAGGUGUAGGGGGUAUCGACCCCCCCUGUGCCGCAGCUAACGCAAUAAGUANUCCACCUGGGGAGUACGANCGCAAGGUUGAAACUCAAAGGAAUUGACGGGGGCCCNC
This 915-nucleotide ribosomal RNA is filed under the name uncultured bacterium. Its description in RNAcentral is "bacterial SSU rRNA". It matches the Rfam family "Bacterial small subunit ribosomal RNA", at positions 8 to 924 of the family's 1533-position model. The record is from RNAcentral.